GCAGUUCCUGUCACGCUGCCGGUGAGCUGAGCUCUGGAAGAGGAAACUCUGGAGUUAGUUGUGAACCUCAACAAACCAUUAAGUUAUCAACAACUGGAACUACGACAGAGUUUGCUUGUUUUCCCCGCGUUGCUAAUGACAUUAGCUUAUGUGGUGUUGAGAAGAGAACUUGGCAACCAGAAAUGGACAGAGAUAGGAGCUCAGUCUACAAACAAGGACCAACAGGAGGAUAUUACAGAUAUGGACCACUUAAUCUCCAGAAAGAAAUGAGAGGGGGCUUCGACUUCAAAUAAGUAGUAACACAGAAAACAUCACUGACAUUGCUAGUCAAAACAAGACAAAAGGGAAAAAAAAAGUCAUCUGGAAAGCAGAGGCAGGAGAUCUUGCCAUCAAACCAUCCGAGGGACUGUGUUUGAGAAACGGAGACAGCGAAAAGCCCCAAAAGGCUUCGGCAGGCGUGCAGCAUUUGCCAUUUCUCCUCAUUUCCAAGAGGCGAGCAGACGACCACUGCGGACCUCGGCCUGUUGUUCCAGUCUUACAGCUUUCUAGCUGCAUCAGUUCUUUGAACAUGAAGGUUACAAUUGGAGGAACAACUUAGAAUAACAUAAUAAUACAUUAGUUUCAGCUCACGGACAAAUGUGCCACAUGCUAUUUGUCAUCAGUUCUUAGCGUUUAUUGUAACCUGUUGGGAUCCAUUUCACCCAUGGGUGCCAACCUGUACCUGCUUCAAGCAGACUCACAAAUAAAUGAUUCU
This is a long non-coding RNA of Centropristis striata (black sea bass), 754 nucleotides long. RefSeq lists it as uncharacterized. The record is from RefSeq and is a predicted model, not a curated record. The transcript is spliced from 3 exons. Lineage: Eukaryota; Metazoa; Chordata; Actinopteri; Perciformes; Serranidae.